RNAcentral lists this transfer RNA (88 nucleotides) under Haliea sp. RNAcentral describes it as "tRNA-Leu". It matches the Rfam family "tRNA". Rfam says of the family: Transfer RNA (tRNA) molecules are approximately 80 nucleotides in length. Their secondary structure includes four short double-helical elements and three loops (D, anti-codon, and T loops). The record is from RNAcentral. Lineage: Bacteria; Pseudomonadati; Pseudomonadota; Gammaproteobacteria; Cellvibrionales; Halieaceae.
GCGGGUGUGGUGAAAUUGGUAAACACAAGGGACUUAAACUCCCUCGGUCAUUGCGACCUUGCCGGUUCAAGUCCGGCCACCCGCACCA